This 414-nucleotide long non-coding RNA is filed under the name Hordeum vulgare. RNAcentral describes it as "long non-coding RNA (HVUL_LNC014004)". The record is from RNAcentral. Lineage: Eukaryota; Viridiplantae; Streptophyta; Magnoliopsida; Poales; Poaceae.
UGAUUAAAUAAUUUAAUUUUUAUUGUUGAUAAAUACCAUUUGGGGUAUAUGCAUCAUUUCAUAUUCUAUUAUCUUAAGUAUUAAAUUGUGACUAUGAUAAGACCUGAAUAUUAAACAUAUAUGGUCAUAGGACAAGAUGGAAUUGUUCCUACGGAAAUUUGGGAAUUCACAAUUUCCUCACUCCCAUUAAGUGAAAUGUAGUCUAAAAACUUCUUCCCAUCAUAGGUUACUAAGCUAGCCCGUGUGAAUGUACGGGUUGACGAAUAGUACAAACUAAUGAUAAGUAGACUACUCCUCUUGUUGAAUAUGUCCUAGUGAUUCUUGUUCCCCAAUAAUCCAAAAUCUCUCAUGACAAAACGAGUUUCAUCCAGUACAUCAUCUAGAUCCAGUAUUUAUGUGGUUAUACUAGCUACG